Molecule: ribosomal RNA, 1658 nt
Filed under: metagenome
Description: bacterial LSU rRNA
Rfam family: Bacterial large subunit ribosomal RNA
Source: RNAcentral
UUACGGGACGAAGCAGUACCGAUAAGGAGCUGUGGACUGUAUAGAAGAGAGAAUGUCGGAAUGAGUAGCGAGAGGAAGGUGAGAAUCCUUCCGGCCGAAUAUCUAAGGUUUCCAGAGUAAAGCUGAUCUGCUCUGGGUAAGUCGGGGCCUAAGGCCAGGUCGAAAGACGUAACCGAUGGACAACAGGUUGAAAUUCCUGUACCUUAAGUAAACAGAACUGUGGGGACACGUGUGGAGAGCACAAGCCGGAAAUGGAAAAGCCGGUGCAAGCGAGGUAGGAGAUGAACAGGCAAAUCCGUUCAUCAAUCCGAAGACGUGAUGCGGACCGAAUUAAGAGUAGGGAAGUGUGUGAGCCAUGCGUCAAGAAAAGCCGCUAUUGUUUUACUUAAGCCCGUACCGUAAACCGACACAGGUGGAUGAGGAGAGAAUCCUAAGGCCGACGGGAGAAGCAUUGUUAAGGAACUCGGCAAAAUGACUCCGUAACUUCGGGAGAAGGAGUGCCAGCGAGAGCUGGCCGCAGAGAAUUGGCCCAAGCAACUGUUUAGCAAAAACACAGGUCUAUGCAAAACCGUAAGGUGAAGUAUAUGGGCUGACGCCUGCCCGGUGCUGGAAGGUUAAGAGGAGAGGUUAGCGGUAACGCGAAGCUUUGAAUUUAAGCCCCAGUAAACGGCGGCCGUAACCAUAACGGUCCUAAGGUAGCGAAAUUCCUUGUCGGGUAAGUUCCGACCCGCACGAAAGGCGUAAUGAUUUGGGCACUGUCUCAACAAUGCACCCGGUGAAAUUGAAAUACCAGUGAAGAUGCUGGUUACCUGCGCCAGGACGGAAAGACCCCAUGGAGCUUUACUCCAGCUUGAUACUGGGAUUCGGUAUUGCAUGUACAGGAUAGGUGGGAGGCUAGGAAGUGAUAACGCCAGUUGUCACGGAGCCGCUGUUGGAUACCACCCUUGCAGUAUUGGAUUUCUAACCAGCGACCACGAACUGGUCGGAGGACAAUGUCAGGUGGGGAGUUUGACUGGGGCGGUCGCCUCCGAAAGGGUAUCGGAGGCGCUCAAAGGUUCCCUCAGAAUGGACGGAAACCAUUCGAAGAGUGCAAAGGCAGAAGGGAGCUUGACUGCGACACCGACGGGUGGAGCAGGUACGAAAGUAGGACUUAGUGAUCCGGUGGUAUAAAGUGGGAUUGCCAUCGCUCAACGGAUAAAAGCUACCCUGGGAUAACAGGCUUAUCACUCCCAAGAGUUCACAUCGACGGAGUGGUUUGGCACCUCGAUGUCGGCUCAUCGCAUCCUGGGGCUGAAGUAGGUCCCAAGGGUUGGGCUGUUCGCCCAUUAAAGCGGUACGCGAGCUGGGUUCAGAACGUCGUGAGACAGUUCGGUCCCUAUCCGGCGUGGGCGUAGGAUAUUUGAGAGGAGCUGUCCUUAGUACGAGAGGACCGGGAUGGACUGGCCGCUGGUGUAUCUGUUGCAUACCAAAUGCAUGGCAGAGUAGCCAAGCCGGGACGGGAUAAACGCUGAAGGCAUCUAAGCGUGAAGCCCCCCUCAAGAUGAGAUAUCCCUACGUAAGUAGUAAGACCCCUUGAAGACGACAAGGUAGAUAGGUCAGAGGUGGAAGUACAGUAAUGUAUGGAGCUGACUGAUACUAAUCGGUCGAGGGCAUGACUA